RNAcentral lists this transfer RNA (72 nucleotides) under Ovis aries (sheep). It matches the Rfam family "tRNA". Rfam says of the family: Transfer RNA (tRNA) molecules are approximately 80 nucleotides in length. Their secondary structure includes four short double-helical elements and three loops (D, anti-codon, and T loops). Lineage: Eukaryota; Metazoa; Chordata; Mammalia; Artiodactyla; Bovidae. The record is from Rfam by way of RNAcentral.
UCCCUGAUAGCUCAGAGGUUAAAGCGUCUGCCUGCAAUGCAGGAGACCUGGGUUUGAUUCCACGGUUGGGAA